UAUAUAGUAUCAGCUAGUUGGUAAGGUAAUGGCUUACCAAGGCUAUGACGCUUAACUGGUCUGAGAGGAUGAUCAGUCACACUGGAACUGAGACACGGUCCAGACUCCUACGGGAGGCAGCAGUAGGGAAUAUUGCGCAAUGGGGGAAACCCUGACGCAGCAACGCCGCGUGGAGGAUGACACUUUUCGGAGCGUAAACUCCUUUUCUUAGGGAAGAAUUCUGACGGUACCUAAGGAAUAAGCACCGGCUAACUCCGUGCCAGCAGCCGCGGUAAUACGGAGGGUGCAAGCGUUACUCGGAAUCACUGGGCGUAAAGGGCGCGUAGGCGGAUUAUCAAGUCUCUUGUGAAAUCUAAUGGCUUAACCAUUAAACUGCUUGGGAAACUGAUAGUCUAGAGUGAGGGAGAGGCAGAUGGAAUUGGUGGUGUAGGGGUAAAAUCCGUAGAUAUCACCAAGAAUACCCAUUGCGAAGGCGAUCUGCUGGAACUCAACUGACGCUAAGGCGCGAAAGCGUGGGGAGCAAACAGGAUUAGAUACCCUGGUAGUCCACGCCCUAAACGAUGUACACUAGUUGUUGGGGUGCUAGUCAUCUCAGUAAUGCAGCUAACGCAUUAAGUGUACCGCCUGGGGAGUACGGUCGCAAGAUUAAAACUCAAAGGAAUAGACGGGGACCCGCACAAGCGGUGGAGCAUGUGGUUUAAUUCGAAGAUACGCGAAGAACCUUACCUGGGCUUGAUAUCCUAAGAACCUUUUAGAGAUAAGAGGGUGCUAGCUUGCUAGAACUUAGAGACAGGUGCUGCACGGCUGUCGUCAGCUCGUGUCGUGAGAUGUUGGGUUAAGUCCCGCAACGAGCGCAACCCACGUAUUUAGUUGCUAACGGUUCGGCCGAGCACUCUAAAUAGACUGCCUUCGUAAGGAGGAGGAAGGUGUGGACGACGUCAAGUCAUCAUGGCCCUUAUGCCCAGGGCGACACACGUGCUACAAUGGCAUAUACAAUGAGACGCAAUACCGCGAGGUGGAGCAAAUCUAUAAAAUAUGUCCCAGUUCGGAUUGUUCUCUGCAACUCGAGAGCAUGAAGCCGGAAUCGCUAGUAAUCGUAGAUCAGCCAUGCUACGGUGAAUACGUUCCCGGGUCUUGUACUCACCGCCCGUCACACCAUGGGAGUUGAUUUCACUCGAAGCCGGAAUACUAAACUAGUUACCGUCCACAGUGGAAUCAGCGACUGGGGUGAAGUCGUAACAAGGUAACCGUAGGAGAACCUGCGGUUGGAUCACCUCCUUUCUA
RNAcentral lists this ribosomal RNA (1284 nucleotides) under Campylobacter jejuni. RNAcentral describes it as "bacterial SSU rRNA". It matches the Rfam family "Bacterial small subunit ribosomal RNA", at positions 232 to 1533 of the family's 1533-position model. The record is from RNAcentral. Lineage: Bacteria; Pseudomonadati; Campylobacterota; Epsilonproteobacteria; Campylobacterales; Campylobacteraceae.